GUGCGAGACCGAUAGCGAACAAGUACCGUGAGGGAAAGAUGAAAAGAACUUUGAAAAGAGAGUUAAAGAGUACCUGAAACUGCUGAAAGGGAACCGAGUCGUAUCUAGUGUCUAUAAUCCGUGGCAUAUUACAUUGCCGUGCUGGUGCGUGCAGUAUUUUGGAAGUGGUUUUUGCUGCUCUGGGUGCUGUUGUGCGUUGGCUUGGUGGUGCUCUGUGUCGUGGUGGGACGUCAGAGUCAGUUCGUAAAUUGCGAGAAAUGGCUGUUGGGAAGGUAGGCCGCUUCGGUGGCUGUUUAUAGCCUGACGUGCUAGUAGUCGUGGUUGAGACUGAGGUGCCUAC
Molecule: ribosomal RNA, 340 nt
Filed under: uncultured Oomycota
Lineage: Eukaryota; Oomycota
Description: eukaryotic LSU rRNA
Rfam family: Eukaryotic large subunit ribosomal RNA
Source: RNAcentral